GUGAACUCGAAGAGUAGGGCGGGACACGUGGUAUCCUGUCUGAAUAUGGGGGGACCAUCCUCCAAGGCUAAAUACUCCUGACUGACCGAUAGUGAACCAGUACCGUGAGGGAAAGGCGAAAAGAACCCCGGCGAGGGGAGUGAAAAAGAACCUGAAACCGUGUACGUACAAGCAGUGGGAGCACCUUCGGGUGUGACUGCGUACCUUUUGUAUAAUGGGUCAGCGACUUAUAUUCUGUAGCAAGGUUAACCGUAUAGGGGAGCCGCAGGGAAACCGAGUCUUAACUGGGCGUUAAGUUGCAGGGUAUAGACCCGAAACCCGGUGAUCUAGCCAUGGGCAGGUUGAAGGUUGGGUAACACUAACUGGAGGACCGAACCGACUAAUGUUGAAAAAUUAGCGGAUGACUUGUGGCUGGGGGUGAAAGGCCAAUCAAACCGGGAGAUAGCUGGUUCUCCCCGAAAGCUAUUUAGGUAGCGCCUCGUGAANUCAUCUUCGGGGGUAGAGCACUGUUUCGGCUAGGGGGUCAUCCCGACUUACCAACCCGAUGCAAACUACGAAUACCGAAGAAUGUUAUCACGGGAGACACACGGCGGGUGCUAACGUCCGUCGUGAAGAGGGAAACAACCCAGACCGCCAGCUAAGGUCCCAAAGUCAUGGUUAAGUGGGAAACGAUGUGGGAAGGCACAGACAGCCAGGAUGUUGGCUUAGAAGCAGCCAUCAUUUAAAGAAAGCGUAAUAGCUCACUGGUCGAGUCGGCCUGCGCGGAAGAUGUAACGGGGCUAAACCAUGCACCGAAGCUGCGGCAGCGACACUAUGUGUUGUUGGGUAGGGGAGCGUUCUGUAAGCCUGCGAAGGUGNNNNNNNNNNNNNNNNNNNNNNNNNNNNNNNNNNNUGGAGCUGAGACCAGUCGAAGAUACCAGCUGGCUGCAACUGUUUAUUAAAAACACAGCACUGUGCAAACACGAAAGUGGACGUAUACGGUGUGACGCCUGCCCGGUGCCGGAAGGUUAAUUGAUGGGGUUAUCCGUAAGGAGAAGCUCUUGAUCGAAGCCCCGGUAAACGGCGGCCGUAACUAUAACGGUCCUAAGGUAGCGAAAUUCCUUGUCGGGUAAGUUCCGACCUGCACGAAUGGCGUAAUGAUGGCCAGGCUGUCUCCACCCGAGACUCAGUGAAAUUGAACUCGCUGUGAAGAUGCAGUGUACCCGCGGCAAGACGGAAAGACCCCGUGAACCUUUACUAUAGCUUGACACUGAACAUUGAGCCUUGAUGUGUAGGAUAGGUGGGAGGCUUUGAAGCGUGGACGCCAGUCUGCGUGGAGCCAACCUUGAAAUACCACCCUUUAAUGUUUGAUGUUCUAACGUUGGCCCCUGACCGGGGUUGCGGACAGUGUCUGGUGGGUAGUUUGACUGGGGCGGUCUCCUCCCAAAGCGUAACGGAGGAGCACGAAGGUUAGCUAAUCCUGGUCGGACAUCAGGAGGUUAGUGCAAUGGCAUAAGCUAGCUUGACUGCGAGCGUGACGGCGCGAGCAGGUGCGAAAGCAGGUCAUAGUGAUCCGGUGGUUCUGAAUGGAAGGGCCAUCGCUCAACGGAUAAAAGGUACUCCGGGGAUAACAGGCUGAUACCGCCCAAGAGUUCAUAUCGACGGCGGUGUUUGGCACCUCGAUGUCGGCUCAUCACAUCCUGGGGCUGAAGUAGGUCCCAAGGGUAUGGCUGUUCGCCAUUUAAAGUGGUACGCGAGCUGGGUUUAGAACGUCGUGAGACAGUUCGGUCCCUAUCUGCCGUGGGCGCUGGAGAAUUGAGGGGGGCUGCUCCUAGUACGAGAGGACCGGAGUGGACGCAUCACUGGUGUUCGGGUUGUCAUGCCAAUGGCACUGCCCGGUAGCUAAAUGCGGAAGAGAUAAGUGCUGAAAGCAUCUAAGCACGAAACUUGCCCCGAGAUGAGUUCUCCCUGAGACUUUAAGUCUCCUGAAGGAACGUUGAAGACGACGACGUUGAUAGGCCGGGUGUGUAAGCGCAGCGAUGCGUUGAGCUAACCGGUACUAAUGAACCGUGAGGCUUAACCUU
RNAcentral lists this ribosomal RNA (2063 nucleotides) under Klebsiella pneumoniae. RNAcentral's name for it is "23S ribosomal RNA". It matches the Rfam family "Bacterial large subunit ribosomal RNA", at positions 399 to 2925 of the family's 2925-position model. Lineage: Bacteria; Pseudomonadati; Pseudomonadota; Gammaproteobacteria; Enterobacterales; Enterobacteriaceae. The record is from RNAcentral.